GACGAACGCUGGAGGCGUGCUUAACACAUGCAAGUCGAACGAUGAAAUGGAGCUUGCUCCAUGGAUUAGUGGCGAACGGGUGAGUAACACGUGAAUAACCUGCCCUUAAUUUUGGAAUAACCCAGGGAAACCUGGGCUAAUACCGGAUAAGUAAACCUGUGGCAUCACAUGGUUUUGGAAAGUUUUUCGAUUAAGGAUGGAUUCGCGGCCUAUCAGCUUGUUGGUGAGGCAAUGGCUCACCAAGGCGACGACGGGUAGCCGGCCUGAGAGGGUGAACGGCCACACUGGGACUGAGACACGGCCCAGACUCCAACGCGAGGCAGCAGUGGGGAAUAUUGCGAAAGGGACGAAAGUCUGACGCAGCGACGCCUCGUGAGGGACGAAGGUCUUCGGAUUGUAAACCUCUGUCAGCAGGGACGAAGCGAAAGUGACGGUACCUGCAGAAGAAGCACCGGCUAACUAUGUGCCAGCCGCCGCAGUAA
RNAcentral lists this ribosomal RNA (482 nucleotides) under uncultured bacterium. RNAcentral's name for it is "partial 16S ribosomal RNA". It matches the Rfam family "Bacterial small subunit ribosomal RNA", at positions 28 to 523 of the family's 1533-position model. The record is from RNAcentral.